GGGGUUGUGGCUCAGUGGAAGAGCACUCACCUAGGACAUGUGAGGCCCUGGGUUCGAUCCUCAGCACCACA
RNAcentral lists this transfer RNA (71 nucleotides) under Marmota monax (woodchuck). RNAcentral's name for it is "tRNA.Pro". It matches the Rfam family "tRNA". Rfam says of the family: Transfer RNA (tRNA) molecules are approximately 80 nucleotides in length. Their secondary structure includes four short double-helical elements and three loops (D, anti-codon, and T loops). Lineage: Eukaryota; Metazoa; Chordata; Mammalia; Rodentia; Sciuridae. The record is from RNAcentral.